Molecule: long non-coding RNA, 410 nt
Organism: Grus americana (Whooping crane)
Lineage: Eukaryota; Metazoa; Chordata; Aves; Gruiformes; Gruidae
Exons: 3
Source: RefSeq, a predicted model, not a curated record
UGUUAGGAGGUGCAGAGCCCACCAGAGCACUCAGCUGAAGGAGGAAGAUGCCUGACCCCUCCCUCGUACUGCCCCGGGAUGCUGCAGCUUCCCAGCCAGCUAGACACAGAUAUGUUCCUGGGAAUUACUGUUCUGUGUGUACAGCAGAAGUUCGAUCAUGGAAACUGGAAGAUUGUAACAGGGCUGGUUGAGAAGACAUGGAAAAGAAGUUACUGUUUCAUCCUCUCUUAACUGGAGAACCCCCGUUGCUGGGUCUGAGGCCACUGCUGAUCCAGAGAUUAUGGCUGCAUAAGGUAGCAAAGAAUGAAGCCUGACGUGAAAGGUGAAAUCUGAAAAAUUCAAAAUCUAAAAUCUAUUAAUUAACUAGAUUUCUUCUCUACAGCAAAUCACACUCAAAAUAUAGAGAUAUA